RNAcentral lists this ribosomal RNA (1415 nucleotides) under Chloropicon primus. RNAcentral's name for it is "eukaryotic LSU rRNA". The stretch from base 663 to 1415 matches the Rfam family "Eukaryotic large subunit ribosomal RNA", at positions 1 to 840 of the family's 3401-position model. Lineage: Eukaryota; Viridiplantae; Chlorophyta; Chloropicophyceae; Chloropicales; Chloropicaceae. The record is from RNAcentral.
GUCGUAACAAGGUUUCCGUAGGUGAACCUGCGGAAGGAUCAUUACUGUGAUAAAAACUACCUCGUGCAUUGUUUUGUAUGUCUGCCUACGCAUGCUCUACACGAGCGUGCUGGCGUCGCAUCGUCCUAACCGGCGUUCGACGGACCCUCGUGCCUCGCGCCUCGCUUGUCGAGUGCCGAGCCUUUGGGUUGGCUUUCUUACUCAAUACACACCUUAAAUCUGUCGAGAAAUCCAUGUGAGUUGUGAUUCCAUUCUUCGUGAAUGAGUCGCUUUAACCAAAUACAACCCUCAACAACGGAUAUCUUGGCUCUCGCAACGAUGAAGAACGCAGCGAAAUGCGAUACGUAGUGCGAAUUGCAGGAUGUAUGCGAGUCAUCGAAUCUUUGAACGCAUAUUGCGCUCGAGGCUUCGGCCAAGAGCAUGUCUGCCUGAGCGUCACUGAUACCUAUCGACUUCCAUCUUUUUGGAGGUCGGACCUGACCUUUUCCCAGGUGCGUCUUCGGACGCCUGGGUGGGUUGAAGUGCAGAGGCGCGGGCGCUUUCUCCCGCGGAUUCCAGUCUCACGACUGGAACUCCAUGUAGCGUGGUCAGCAGAUUUCUGCUUUCGAUCGCUGCGACGGUGGAUGCGCUUCGCUGCCGACAACCAACUUUUAUUUAUCUUAUGACCUCAGAUCAGGCAAGAUUACCCGCUGAACUUAAGCAUAUCACUAAGCGGAGGAAAAGAAACUAACCAGGAUUCCUAUAGUAACGGCGAGUGAACUAGGAAAAGCCCAACUGAAAAUCCUUCGGGAAUUGUAGUCUAAAGAAGCAAUCUCUGUGUCGUCCACGGCCCAAGUUCCCUGGAAAGGGACGCCGGAGAGGGUGAGAGCCCCGUCGGCUGUGUUUCGUCACUCCACGAGAUGCUUUCUCAGAGUCGGGUAGUUUGGGAAUGCUGCCCUAAUUUGGAGGUAAAUUCCUUCUAAGGCUAAAUACUGGCGAGAGACCGAUAGCGAACAAGUACCGUGAGGGAAAGAUGAAAAGCACUUUGAAAAGAGAGUUAAAAGGGCUUGAAAUUGUUGAGGGGGAAGGAAAUGGUUGCCGGUGUGCACUUUGGUUUUAUGUUAAGUUAACGCUUAGCCUAUCAACGCAUUGUGCUGGUCAGCGUGGGUUGGACGGGCGGUAUAACCACGUACUGCCGCCUGUCCGACCGAGGUCGGAGGUAACGCUCGAGACGCUGUCGGAAGGUAACCACUUCACCCGUCUUGAAACACGGACCAAGGAGUCUAACAUGUAUGCGAGUCGGCGGGUGGAAAACCCGUAGGCGCAAGUAACCUAACAGGUGGGAUUUUUGCACCAUCGACCAACCUUGAUCUUCUGUGAAGGGUUUGAGUACGAGCAUACCUGUUGGGACCCGAAAGAUGGUGAACUAUGCGUGA